Molecule: long non-coding RNA, 3255 nt
Organism: Neopelma chrysocephalum (saffron-crested tyrant-manakin)
Lineage: Eukaryota; Metazoa; Chordata; Aves; Passeriformes; Pipridae
Exons: 5
Source: RefSeq, a predicted model, not a curated record
UAUGAUAUAGGUGGAGAGAUUGCUCCCAGGCCCGGGAUUUGUGCGAGGUGAAGUCUGUGGGGUAUGGAGGCCCUGUCGUCCUGACAGGCGGGGACGGCUGUGAGAAGGAAGGCCUGAGGGAAAGAGAGACAUCUCGUCGUGAGAGCUCCAGGGCAAACUCCCUCUCCACAGGCACAGGAACAACGUUUCCAGGCAAGCUUAAACAGAAGAGACAGCAGAGUAAACACUCCAUCCCAUCCCAUCAUUGGCUUCUGUGCUGGAUUACACAAGACCAGAAUUCAGAUCUCCCACUGUAGUUUCCCUCUUCUGCAACCCCAACAGUCACCAUGAGAUUUUGAUCUCCCAGUGACCAGUGGUGCUGUACAGAAUGGAGGAACCGAGGGAGGAUCCAGUGAGUUGUUUCACACCAUGAAAAGCCCUGUGACAGCACCCAACUGCAGCUCCCGAACCACUGUCACUAAACCAGCUCUCCUGCCAUGGGGUGAGCAGCACAAAGAAAUAUAAUCAGCACAGGACAGAGAAGAUAAAUUCCCAAAUCAACAAAACAGCCUAAGAUGGAGAGAAGAGAGCUGGAGGGAGGGUGAGACCAGUCGAAAAGGACUCGACACACCUCCCAUCCAAGCAAAAUCCCAGCUUGGAUACCAUCCUGUGCAUGGGAUAAAGAACAAGAAGGUGAGGACAGUGCUUACAAGUUAAAACUGGUGUGACCCAUACCCUGAGAUAAACUCAGUAUCAAACUGUUACUCACCGCCAGCUCCAGGGAGUGGAUAACCUCAUUGGUCCUUUCCUUCCCUAAUUCCCCUGCCUGCCCAUGGCACUGCUGUCACUGGUGUUGGACAAAGCACCACCUGGCAUCUGGAUGGAAUAUAUCGUGAGAAAAGCAGCAAUUUGACAGAAAUGUUGCAAACAUAUUCAGUGUGGGAGCUCUUUUGGGGUCUUCAACAAUUCCUGCUGUCCAUGGCAGAGAGACCCCCCCCAGUGCCAUCACAGGUUGGUGUUAGUAGGGGUUAAUCCACAAGUCCUCAAGGGAGAUCUGUUGUGGGUUAUGUUGGAUACUUAUAAAUGUCUUCAGAAUUAAAUAGCAAGUAACCACACCACCCAAAUUUACUUUGCUUUCCCUGCCCUCUGUUAGAAUUGCUUUCUUUUCCUCCUACCAGUGUGUAUCUGUGGCUGUGCAGUACUCACAGGGUACAGAAAUCCUAGGAUUUCGUGCUUAGGUCAUGUAUGCUGCCAUCUACAUGGUUUGUGCUAAAACUUUCCCAAAUUCCCAAAGAAUGGGGGAAUUGCCACGUUGGUUGAGAACAAGGGUCCAUCCAGCUGAGUGACCACAGCUGGACACUCAGGUAAUCAUGGGCAGGCACAUGGGAUACUUCUCCCUGCUACUCUCCCAGCUUCCAACCAUUUUCUGCUCAGGGGCUUUCCUGAGCUUCCACAUGUCACUGUGUCCACAUCACCAGCCAAAUCCUCUGGCAAUUUAUAUGCUGCAAAACCUCUGGCUACUACAGCACAUAUAAAUCAAGCAGAAUUGGAGUCAAUGACAAUAAUUGAGGGGAAAAAAAAUCUGUGAUUUGGAAGACAUAUAUGAGUUUUGAUGUUAAUUUGGGCUAAAUCUCCUAGGAACAUAAAUUAUCUGUUUGGCUGCCUCUGUUCUCUGCCAUCCCUACGGAGCCUCACUGUGCAAUGGCAUAGUGCAAUAAGGAUAGAUGGAGCUUUGCUCUCAGAUCCAGUUUAAGAGCAGAAUGACACUUCCACAGUGGAGAGGGAUGGGAUUUCGGAAUGAGAAGCUCCUUUCCAGCAGCCACAGGCAUGUGGAGCCAGGCUGAUGGGGACAAGAAGCAAUUGAAGAAAGAUGAGAGCCAUGGAAGUGAGGAGGGAAGGAGCUGGACAAGGAGCAGACAGGGGUACAGAGAAGGCUCUAAGGAGAAGUCUUUCAUGGGAAAAGAUAGAAAUUUGAGAGUCAAUUUAAAUGAAAAUGAGAAGAAUGAAAAAAAGAAUCCAGGGAGAAGAGAUUCAAAGUUACAGCUGCUGGGGGAAGCAACACCUUUUCUUUCAGUGUCCUGGACAAGGGAGUAAGGCAGAUUGAUUAAGGCAAAGAGAAGCACAAGUCUAGUGAUCAAAACUGGACUCAUGGUCCAAAAUAUCUUCAUGAAUGCAGACUGCUACCCAGGGGAGCAGCUGUGCAAGGAAUUGUUCCCAACCAGUCUGGGACCCUUGGAAUAAGGGUCCAUUUUCUUCAGUGUUCUGGACAACGACAUGUGAAGCACAAGAAGACCAAUUGCCAGUGAUGGCCCAGUGUGCAAAUAUGCUCAUUAAAGAUAUGUAUUAAUGACAUUUUAUGACAUUACUAGGUAACAAAUUUUAAUCUGAUUUUUGCCUAGUUUCUAAAAAGAGAUCUGUACAACAUACUUACAAAUAUUUUGGAUGUAGCAAGUGUUACUGAAGUACCAUUAGUCACUACCAUCAUCUUAGAUUUAAACUUCAAAUCCACUGUGCUUCUUUUCUCCGUACUCUAUUAGUGCCCGUUGAAAGAAGUUAGCAUUUACACAGAUCAAAUCUAACCUUAGGAAAUCCUUCCUCAAAUGAGCAGAUGAGACUGAUUUCUCAAAACAUAAUAAUCCAAGAAAACUUUAUUCUAACCGUCUUCUUGCCAGGAUGUACCAAAUUUUCCAAGAUCCCUCUCCCACCUUACACAGGUAGGUUUCAGCAGGAACACAAAGCACAGUACCAUUUGCUCCAAGGAGCUCUGUAGCCUGCAGGAUCUUUGCAGAAUCCAGCUCGAAGAAAUACAGCACUUUGAGAAAACUGAGCUGUCAAACAAGAUUUCCUUGGGCUUGCUGCCACACAAAAUGGCAAAUAAGGGACUUGAUCCUGCACGGAAACAAUAGGAAUUAUAGGUGCUCAGCGUUUGUCUCCCCCGGCACAGUUAAGGUUUCUCAGCACUUCCCAAAAUCAGCUUAUACUUAUUCAAAAUUAUAUAGCUAAAAGCUUUGGUAUGUAGCCACAGAGCUUUUAUUUCAAAUUGGCAAUAAUGUAAGUUCUGCAAAAAGAAAGACUACAAUAAUGUUAAAAAUAUCAUAAAAUGUUAUUUAUAUCAGGAUACAUUUGUUAGCCCAUAUGACAAUCAUUCAUAUUUCUUGACAGAUAUAAACCUCCGCUUAACACAUUAGUAUCAUAAAUAUUACCAGAUAUAACACUGUAAUGUAAUACCUACCAAAUGUAUUUUAAAAUAUUACUCAAUUUAAAACUUUGGAUUUU